AAGGGUAUAGCCCAGGGGUAGAGUGUGUGCCUUGCAUGUGCAAGGUCCUGGGUUCAAUCCCCAGUAUCUCCA
RNAcentral lists this transfer RNA (72 nucleotides) under Camelus bactrianus (Bactrian camel). It matches the Rfam family "tRNA". Rfam says of the family: Transfer RNA (tRNA) molecules are approximately 80 nucleotides in length. The record is from Rfam by way of RNAcentral. RNAcentral also lists the same sequence under 2 other names. Lineage: Eukaryota; Metazoa; Chordata; Mammalia; Artiodactyla; Camelidae.